RNAcentral lists this non-coding RNA (30 nucleotides) under Rattus norvegicus (Norway rat). The record is from RNAcentral. Lineage: Eukaryota; Metazoa; Chordata; Mammalia; Rodentia; Muridae.
UGAGAGAUGCCUUCCCCUUAGCAACAAGUA